This 253-nucleotide ribosomal RNA is filed under the name uncultured bacterium. Its description in RNAcentral is "partial 16S ribosomal RNA". It matches the Rfam family "Bacterial small subunit ribosomal RNA", at positions 524 to 776 of the family's 1533-position model. The record is from RNAcentral.
UACGGAGGGUGCAAGCAUUGAUCGGAAUUACUGGGCGUAAAGGGCGCGUAGGCGGUCUAGAAAGUCAGAUGUGAAAUUCCGGGGCUCAACCCCGGAGCGGCAUUUGAAACUCCUAGACUAGAGGAUGGUUAGGGAAAACGGAAUUCCACGUGUAGCGGUGAAAUGCGUAGAUAUGUGGAAGAACACCGGUGGUGAAGACGGUUUUCUGGGCCAAUCCUGACGCUGAGGCGCGAAAGCUAGGGGAGCAAACAGG